This 253-nucleotide ribosomal RNA is filed under the name uncultured bacterium. RNAcentral's name for it is "partial 16S ribosomal RNA". It matches the Rfam family "Bacterial small subunit ribosomal RNA", at positions 524 to 776 of the family's 1533-position model. The record is from RNAcentral.
UACGUAGGGUGCGAGCGUUGUCCGGAAUUAUUGGGCGUAAAGAGCUCGUAGGUGGUUUGUCGCGUCGGCCGUGAAAACUUGGGGCUUAACUCCAAGCUUGCGGUCGAUACGGGCAGACUUGAGUUCGGCAGGGGAGACUGGAAUUCCUGGUGUAGCGGUGAAAUGCGCAGAUAUCAGGAGGAACACCGGUGGCGAAGGCGGGUCUCUGGGCCGAUACUGACGCUGAGGAGCGAAAGCGUGGGGAGCGAACAGG